UAUUGCUUGCGCCAUAGCGGCAGCAGUUCGCGCAGGAAAAUUUGCACUUAUUUCUUAAAAACCAGAUAAUUAACUGCUCCAAGUGUUAUACUAAACGAAGUCAACGCCAAAAUGCGAUCAUUCUGCAAAAUUUGAGCAAGAACAAUGCAGCGGAGGUGCCUGGAUCUUUUGGAAGCGAUAAGGUGACAGAUGGUGAGGAUGGCUGCGGCGCAGUAAGUUCUGGCGCGGUGGAUGCUUUAGUGGCCAUCACUGAGGAAACAAUGUGGUGGCCACUUCGGAGUUCUGUGUUGGGAUGAUGGUGAUGAACAGGCCAUCACCAAGGGAACAACAAGGCGGCCACUUCGGAGCUCUGUGCUGGGAUGAUGGUGAAGAACAGGCGCACCCAGCAUCUCUACCAGGAGAAUACCGGGCUCAAGUUGCCGCAGCAGGUCUUCCAGAUUGCGGAUACGGAUGGGCUCGGCAGGAUCGGCCAUGCAGGGCUCGGGACGCGGCAGGUCCCGGCGCGAGUCCUGGCCCGGGCUGGCAUGUGAC
Non-coding RNA from Dermacentor albipictus, 531 nucleotides. NCBI's taxonomy places the organism in Eukaryota, Metazoa, Arthropoda, Arachnida, Ixodida, Ixodidae. The record is from RefSeq and is a predicted model, not a curated record.